RNAcentral lists this ribosomal RNA (238 nucleotides) under uncultured bacterium. Its description in RNAcentral is "partial 16S ribosomal RNA". It matches the Rfam family "Bacterial small subunit ribosomal RNA", at positions 15 to 244 of the family's 1533-position model. The record is from RNAcentral.
GUUCCUGGCUCAGGAUGAACGCUAGCUACAGGCUUAACACAUGCAAGUUGAGGGGCAGCAUGGUCUUAGCUUGCUAAGGCCGAUGGCGACCGGCGCACGGGUGAGUAACGCGUAUCCAACCUGCCUUACACUCUUGGACAGCCUUCUGAAAGGGAGAUUAAUACAAGAUGUUAUCAUGAGUAAGCAUUUUCGCAUGAUUAAAGGUUUACCGGUGUAAGAUGGGGAUGCGUUCCAUUAG